CAGCCGCCGCGGGAAUACGAAGGGGGCUAGCGUUGUUCGGAAUUACUGGGCGUAAAGCGCGUGUAGGCGGGUCCUUAAGUCAGGGGUGAAAUGCCAAGGCUCAACCUUGGAACUGCCUUUGAUACUGGGGAUCUUGAGUCCGGGAGAGGUGAGUGGAACUGCGAGUGUAGAGGUGGAAUUCGUAGAUAUUCGCAAGAACACCAGUGGCGAAGGCGGCUCACUGGCCCGGAACUGACGCUGAGACGCGAAAGCGUGGGGAGCAAACAGGAUUAGAUACCCCCGUAGUCCCUGUCUCUUAUAA
This 301-nucleotide ribosomal RNA is filed under the name uncultured bacterium. RNAcentral describes it as "partial 16S ribosomal RNA". It matches the Rfam family "Bacterial small subunit ribosomal RNA", at positions 509 to 809 of the family's 1533-position model. The record is from RNAcentral.